This 253-nucleotide ribosomal RNA is filed under the name uncultured bacterium. RNAcentral's name for it is "partial 16S ribosomal RNA". It matches the Rfam family "Bacterial small subunit ribosomal RNA", at positions 524 to 776 of the family's 1533-position model. The record is from RNAcentral.
UACGGAGGGGGCUAGCGUUGUUCGGAAUUACUGGGCGUAAAGCGCACGUAGGCGGCUUUGUAAGUUAGAGGUGAAAGCCUGGAGCUCAACUCCAGAAUAGCCUUUGAGACUGGAUUGCUAGAAUCUUGGAGAGGCGAGUGGAAUUCCGAGUGUAGAGGUGAAAUUCGUAGAUAUUCGGAAGAACACCAGUGGCGAAGGCGGCUCGCUGGACAAGUAUUGACGCUGAGGUGCGAAAGCGUGGGGAGCAAACAGG